AAGAAACAGCCACCGUGACCACCACUUCCCGAAGACAGCUGGCACUCCACUCGGCGACGGAAAGUUUCUGGGGUCCGGUCCGAUGACCAUGGAUGAAGUACUGGCUGUCCAGAGUCGAGACCCAGGAUGGACCGCUCGUCGGGACCCAGGAUGGACCGCUCGCCUGUAUCGGUUGGGGACAUCUCUACGCUGCUGAUCCGCUCGAGAUGGUUUCCUGUGGACGGGACUCUCGCUGCUGUCUUGGAGCCACUGUGGAUUGAACUUUCGCAGUAUCAUGUUGGACCCGCUCGACAUCCAUUGCUUUCGGUCCCCUAGAGGGGGGGGGUUGCCCACAUCUGAGGUCCUCUCCAAGGUUUCUCAUAGUCAGCAUUGUCGCUGGCGUCCCACUGAAUGUGAAUUCUCCCUGCCCACUGGGUGUGAGUUUUCCUUGCCCUUUUGUGGGUUCUUCCGAGGAUGUUGUAGUCGUAAUGAUUUGUGCAGUCCUUUGAGACAUUUGUGAUUUGGGGCUAUAUAAAUAAACAUUGAUUGAUUGAU
Long non-coding RNA from Nerophis ophidion (straightnose pipefish), 534 nucleotides. RefSeq lists it as uncharacterized. Lineage: Eukaryota; Metazoa; Chordata; Actinopteri; Syngnathiformes; Syngnathidae. The transcript has 2 exons. The record is from RefSeq and is a predicted model, not a curated record.